Molecule: long non-coding RNA, 804 nt
Filed under: Marmota monax (woodchuck)
Lineage: Eukaryota; Metazoa; Chordata; Mammalia; Rodentia; Sciuridae
Source: RNAcentral
GCUUGUGGUGAGUUGAUCUCUGUUUGGAGUUUCAGGUAGGAAAUGUGUCCACAGUCCUCUAAUGCUCACCAAUCCCCAAGGGUAUGAGGGCCUUCUAAGGGGCCCAUGUCAUCUAUGCAGGCUAUGACAGUUUUCUUUCUAACUUUUCUCUCCCCUCCUGUCAGUUGUCAUCUCCCAGUUGGUCAAAGAGCAAAAGACUAGAUUUUGCCCCAUUUAGUUACACUUUCUAAUCUCUGGUUUUUAGCAUAUUCUCCAUACUUUUUGUUUCCCUCAAGGCUUUGGCUCUUGAUAUACAAAACCAAGUUUUGUAGAAUUCAAAAUCAUUUACUUUCUUCAUCCCCUUGCCUUUAAAAGAUUUCUUCAGUGUUAAGAUUUUUAAAACAUCAAUUCAGCAGUUUAAUUCACUUAUUUUAUCUUAGCUACCAUCUAACCACCACCUCUCAAGCAGUUACAUAUAAAGGGCCCAGAGUAUUCAACAAAUGGAGAGGAAGAUAAUGAACAUCAUGGACACAAGGGAGAAAUUUUAAAAGAGGCAAAACCAAACCCAGUAGACCAUAGUGAAGAGCUUCAAUUCUUUUUCUAAAUAAAAUGGAAAGACCUUGGUAAAUUUUGAUCUGAGAUAUUACAUGUGCUUAUGUUUUUUAAAAAAUUUGCUUUGUUUGGAGAUUGAUUGAUCACCUGAGUAAGAAUAAAAUAUGGUGGCUUAUUUUACCCAAGUGUUAUUGGGAAGAUAUAAAGAAGUAGAUGGAUUCAAGAUAUAUUUUAAAAUAUUACAUACAGGGGCUGGGAUUGUGGCUCAGCGGU